GGUAAAAUGGCCGAUGAAGGCAAUAAACUGUAAAUUUAUUUAUGGGGGGUUCUGCCUUCUUUUACCA
Molecule: transfer RNA, 67 nt
Filed under: Trapezodirus sp. 1 EF-2015
Lineage: Eukaryota; Metazoa; Arthropoda; Insecta; Coleoptera; Leiodidae
Description: tRNA-Tyr
Rfam family: tRNA
About the family: Transfer RNA (tRNA) molecules are approximately 80 nucleotides in length.
Source: RNAcentral